GCGUCAUUAUGGAGUAAAGGGGGUGGCGGCAAAAGGCGUCAUUAUGGAGGAAAGGGGGUGGCGUCAAAAAGCAUCAUAAUGGAGGAAAGGGUUAAAACUUUGGUUGACAAUCUUACAUUUCCUUAUUGUUAUAUAAAAUACAUGUGUGUGUAUGUGUGUGUAUGCUUGUGAAGUUUAUUCAUGUUCAAACUGGGUUUUUUU
This 201-nucleotide long non-coding RNA is filed under the name Mytilus galloprovincialis (Mediterranean mussel). Lineage: Eukaryota; Metazoa; Mollusca; Bivalvia; Mytilida; Mytilidae. The record is from RNAcentral.